GCCGGGAUAGCUCAGCUGGGAGAGCAACAGACUGAAGAUGUGUCUGGAUUCUGGAGGUCCCGUGUUCAAUCCACGGUCCUGGCA
This 84-nucleotide transfer RNA is filed under the name Paxillus involutus ATCC 200175. It matches the Rfam family "tRNA". From Rfam's summary of the family: Transfer RNA (tRNA) molecules are approximately 80 nucleotides in length. Lineage: Eukaryota; Fungi; Basidiomycota; Agaricomycetes; Boletales; Paxillaceae. The record is from Rfam by way of RNAcentral.